Molecule: long non-coding RNA, 2817 nt
Organism: Cyprinus carpio carpio
Lineage: Eukaryota; Metazoa; Chordata; Actinopteri; Cypriniformes; Cyprinidae
Source: Ensembl
CCUGAAAAGUGGCUUUGUGCGACUAUUAAAACUUAUUUGCGUAUCCCGGCUAGCAACAUCGGCUCAACCAAUGGUGUGCAUUUGGGGCAUGGCUAUCCUUUCUUUUAACCAAUGACAGUGAAUUAUAUUUCUGAAAGCACAAUUGGAUCUGCCUGUUUGAAAAAAGUAACUUUCUUUAUGUUUGGCCCUGGUAGUGUCAUUUUCGCAAACGUUGCUUUAUCCUGUUAUGUCCAUAAAACGCACCAUUUUAUAUUUAUAAAUAUUAUGCUAUUUCUACUUGAUUUGUCCCUUAUAACUACUAGUUUUGGUUUAAACCAGCAAUCAAGGUGAUUCAGUCAUAUUCAACAAUACUUUUAAGUUUUUUUUACAGUGACAAAACAUUUUACAGUUAUAAUAUAUAGGCUAUCAUUGUCCAUCAUUUUUUUUUUUUUUAAAUUACAAUUACAGAGAAAUUCUUAUGGUCAUAUUUAUUUUGAUUUUACAUAACUUUGUCAUUUUAAACUAUGGUUUCCCUUGUAAACUUUUCUAAGAGUAAUAUUACCUGAGUAUUCAUCAUAUUUGAUUUGAUUUCUGGGAGCAGAUUACACAUACAACUCUACAUGCAACACAAUUAUCAUGGAAUAAUGUCAAGCCUUACAAUACACCACUGCGCAGGUGACAAAAGUUUUUAUUUUUUUAUGAAGUUAAGAUAUGAAUUAUUUUCAGUACAGGUUGCGUCAUAUUUCUUUCUCUGUGCGUGCUCUGCUGUGUUUACUUGUACGCCAACUAACGACCCAACAACUGCAAAAAACAAACAGCAGUACGAUGGCCGACUCCCGCGCGCGGCAGGAAUACCUGACAUUCGUUUGUUCCGUCGCCGUCGCUCCGAGCAACAGAGGCCAAUUACUGCAGCAGCCGCAUGACCUUUAGCAUGCAGAUGAGCCGCGCAGCGCACGCGCUUAUGUGUGUGUGGCCGGUAAAUAUUAACGGGAACGGAAGAGUGGAGCCAUAAUGACGCACAGAUCGUUAGAGACUCGUUAGGGAGCACGAGACGGAGGAUAUUAAAGAGCAGUUAAGAGCAAAACGCACAUACACACCUUUCUACAGGACUGGCACACACACACUUCACCAGUCUAACGUACUCCUAUAAUGCCUGCAUAUAGGCUACCUUUGUCUAACUCACACAUAAACACGUGAGAGUAAUGCAAAGAUCUAUCUAACAGACACACAUAUCUGACAUGCAACAACAUAAUUCAUGUGUCUAACACACACACACACCUGCCUUCUAUGGAUAAAAACACUAAAACUGUCUGACACACAAACACAUUCAUCCUACUAGCACAUAUAGACACUUUACCUGUCUAACACGCACCUCACAAUUUACUUAUCUGACAUAAACAAACUUCCCUGUCUAUCACACACGCUUUAUCUGUCUAAGGCGCACAUAUACCCACAAUUCACCUGUCCAACAUGCAUGCAAACACACACACACUGAGCGUCGCAAGUUCUGAGCGCUGCGCUGCCGGGGUCUUUCAGCACGCUGGCAUUAGUAUUCACAGACAGCGCUUCCCUUCAGUGCCUGAAUUAAUUUUCCACCAUGCGUAUGUGUGUGCGUGUAUCACAUCACAGAAAGUGCGAGACCGCGGCAGAGAGAGAGCGAUAGACAGUGUGUGGUGAUCUCCCCGAAUCUCAAGCCUCUUUUCCUGUUAUUUUAUUGCGAUUUAAAUACUUCACUUGUCUAAUGCAUGUAAUCUGACUAAUCAGUGCAGGAAAUUGCCCACAGUCUGUUUCUAAAGAGGAAACCGUUCUGUUUCGAACCUGCCACAGAGAGAGACAGGCUUCCGACGGAAAGCAGCGUGCACGAAGAACGAAGAUUGAGCGUGUGUGCGCGUGACCGAAGUUGAAUAUCUUUGAUAUAAUGAGCACUGCUAUGCAAGAACUAGUCACUGGAGGCACCAAAGUUUGCGAGACAGCAUUUGAUUGGACAAAAAUCGGAGUAGUGCAGGAUGAUGUCAUCGAGAUAUUUGCUCUUUUUUCUCUGUUUGGGAAAAUUGUUUGAAAACUCAUUAUUAUUUGUGGCAUGGAAAAUUACAGGUUUUCACUUUGUCUCUCCCUCUACAUUGCUCUCAUUUCAUUCUUGCGGAAGCUCUCAGAAGCUUUUGCAUUCUGCCAUUUUUCUCUUUCUCAUUCUCGUGCGAACCCCGUCUUCCUCUCCUAAUCGGUACGCUCUUUAUUUUCUAACUCUCACUCUCAUUUCACUCUCUCUCUCUAACUCAAAUUACACCCAUUACAGCCCACUCUAGCUCUCCAGCACUGCUCUCCCUCCCUCUCCACACCUCACUGCAGCAAACACACACACACUCACGCACACACAUUCCGUGCAGCUUUUCAAGAAAGGCAUCUAUUUGUCAGCGUCUCUGCAAAGCUGAGACUGCAGGAGGCCUCCGUUUAUAAAACGCACAGCUAUCUGUUAUACGGCAUAUGUGUGUGUGUGACAUAAAAGAAAAACAACAGAGAAACACCAAGAGUGUAAAUAUCACCAAACGUGUGGAGACCAUGUCCGACUCUGACCGCAAAUUUAAAAAUAAGAAAUUAGAAAUUUGUUGAAAGAUAAUGAAGCCUGUUUUAGGACCAUUAAGAUUGAUGGUAUCUAUUACCAUUUUUGCUACAUUUAUGAUGGUAUUACCAUGUUUGUUAGACAUUUACCAUGGUAUUACCAUAUUUACAAUGACCUUUAUCAUGCUAUUACUGUCUUUGGGGGACAUUUACAGUGGCAUUACCAUUUUCAUUAUCUUAUGUGAAAAUGAUUUAUAUUUUCAUUACUGAAUGCAUCUGGAG